AUGCAUGGCUACACGAGGUUGGUGGUCUGGCUGCUGCUCCUAAGCAGCUGUUCGUCGUACUUUGGACAUGUAACCAGUGAUUCCGACGUCCAAUGCUUGAAGGACCUCAAACAGUCUGUUAUCGAUCCUAAUGGCGUGCUCGAAGCCUCAUGGAGCUUUUCUAACAACGGCAUCGACGGUUACAUAUGCCGGUUCACCGGCGUGGAAUGCUGGCACCCUGAUCAGAACAGGGUUCUCGGGUUGCGUCUCGGCAACCUGGGACUCGAAGGUCCAUUCCCUCCAGGCCUCCAGCUUUGCAGCUUCAUGACCGCUCUUGACGUGUCUGGCAACAACUUCUCAGGGCCGCUCCCGGAACACAUCUUCGAGCAGAUGGCGUACACAACCUAUCUGAACCUCUCGAACAACAGUUUCUCGGGCGUGAUCCCUGCAAGCAUCAGGAACAUGACAUACCUGAGCACGCUCGCCCUUCAGCACAACCAGUUCGACGGCGGAAUCCCGGCGCAGCUGGGCAACACUUCGCAGCUCAUUUCGUUCAACGUCGCUGAUAACUCACUGUCAAGCCUUGUCCCGGACUCUCUGCAGCGCUUCUCGGCUGCCAAAUUCACAGGCAAUCCGGGGCUAUGUGGGCCGCCGCUGGACAAGAGGUGCAAGAAGAGGUUCAGGAUGCGGAUACAUAUUCGGCUUGUCUGGGUUCAAGUGAUGUUUGUCCGGAUUCAGAAGCUCCUGCGUAGUAUCAAUGACGCGUCCAUCACAGGGGCGUCGGCUGGGUUCAUCUUGGGGUUCGUGGUGGCCUUCUACUUUCCGCACAAGUUCUUGUUCUGUGGGAGGCUUCAGCCCUACACCUUUCGUGUGUGUGGGUGA
This 861-nucleotide ribosomal RNA is filed under the name Triticum aestivum (bread wheat). RNAcentral describes it as "partial small subunit ribosomal RNA". Lineage: Eukaryota; Viridiplantae; Streptophyta; Magnoliopsida; Poales; Poaceae. The record is from RNAcentral.